CACCUGCUCUCAUCACCACACCGGUCGCCGAUCCCAGCUGAUUGCAGCACUAUUUAAGAUGGCGGAUCUGCACUAGUCUUCGCUGGAUCGUUGAGCUAUCAGCAUUUUCCCUGAACCUGUUUAAUGGACAACAAGAGGAGCGGCAGUGGAGAGGAGUCGGAUUCUGUACAGAAAGUUGUGGAGCACUUUUCCCCGACCCCUGUUUCCCCCACGGACCCGGGAGACCCGGACCCCUCUUCCCCUGCACGUUGUAUAUGUCCACUUGGUGUUUUGUUCACUGUAAAUAAACGCACUGUCUUUUGCCUGAGGAAAACCUGGACUGCGCCUGGGCCCCUUUAAGAAACCUUAUCAAUGGUGCUGUCUGUUGGAGCAGCAGCUUAUCUACAGCUGAGAGGAUCAGCUCAUCAGGAAGGCCAGGUCUGUGCUAGGAUAGGAAAUGGGCAGUAAUGCGUAAUCUGAUUACUUUUUUCAAGUCACGAGUACUGUAAGGGAUUACUAUUGCAAAAUGUAAUUAGAUUACCUAUGCUUUCCCGUAAGCAUGCUGCGUUACUGUGUUACUAAAGCGUUGUGCUUUUGUUUGUGAGAGUGUCUCAUGGCAAUGACGUAUAAGCGUGCGACGUCCGUGGUAACAGAGGUGUGAAGAUCAACGAUGGAUAAUAUGGAGAGAGUACGACCAUGCAGCAUUUAAAGUGUGGAAGUAAUCACGUUACUUUGAGUUUGAUUCUGUAAAAAGUGACAAAAACAUCAGUGUCUGCUGUUCACUCUGCGUGGGAAGAAAACUUCUUUCUACAGUGAAAAAUUAAACUUCAAAUCUGAGCGAGCAGCGAGCACGCUGCCACAGGAAUGUGACAUUCACAGAGAAACCCCGGGAUCCCCCCACUGACAUGACCACUGUGGGCAAACCUCCACCCGCCCCACUCCUGCUAAACAGGUGACAACAGAUUUAAGAGCGACAGGACUCAGAGCUGCUGAAUCUUUGAUUUUAUUUAUUUUUGCUGUGUUUUACUUGCAUCUA
Oreochromis aureus is the source of this 1015-nucleotide long non-coding RNA. Lineage: Eukaryota; Metazoa; Chordata; Actinopteri; Cichliformes; Cichlidae. The record is from Ensembl.